UCUUAACAACAUAUGGACUGUGCUGUAGUGGCAUUUUUUAUUUUUGGAAACUUCAUUGCCUCAUGUAAACAUUAUAUAGGCGAUACAGCCUUAUGGUAAGAAAAAUGUAAAUGUUGAUGGGAUGUAUUAAAUGUCUGGAGGAGAAUAUGCUGCUGAGAGCCUUGAAACAUGGAGAGGAAACAUGGAACUGGUUCCUGCAUCUAUCAAAGAUGUUUGUUAAGUUGAAUUGUUCUUGCUUGCCUUUUAUAAAGGAAAGCGGCUAAAGGUCUGAAGGGUGGGCCUGACAGAUGGGCUUGCCUUACAUCAGAGAGAGCCUGAGAUCCAGAAAUAAGCUUUUUAACAAAGAACAAAUAUUCCUACAGUUCUGUGUGGGUCAUAGGCCAGAGUGUAAAGAGGAAGUUGAUUAAAGGACACUGCAGAUCUGGUCUUAUUUAGGACGAAAAUAGUACUGAAAAAAUGCUGAGCUGUCCACAUGUGACUGAGGGCUUCAUCAGUUCCUUACUCUUCAUUAGAAAAUGGUGCAUGAUCUACUCUAUAGAGUAAUUUUAGCUCCUCUCAGGGAAUCAAUUUAAAAAUACAUUUCAAUUUUGCUUUGUGUAUUAAAAGCCUUAAUAUUUGUACAACCUCUCACUUGAAAAUUCUACUCCCAGAAAUUUUUAUGUUUUUAAUCAUGAAUUAUUAACCUAUAUAUAUAUACGCACUCACCAUGAGCCAGCCAUAGUCUACACAUUUUGCAUGCAUCUAAAGCCUCAAUUAAUCCACACAGUUACCCUGUAAGAUAGUUACAAUUACAUUUCACACAGGAGGACACUGAGAUCCAAGAUGUUUAAGUAGCUUCCCUAAUGUCAUACAGCUUUUGGCACACAUGGCAGUAAAUCCAUAGGGUCUGGAUAGGGUCUGGUUCUUGACGACUGUACUUUUUUUUUUUUUUUUUUUUUUGUAGAUGUUGUCUCACUCUGUCACCCAGGCUGGAUUGCGGUGGCGCGAUCUCGGCUCACUGAAACCUCCGCCUCCUGGGCUCAAGCAAUUCUCUUGCCUCAGCCUCCCAAGUAGCUGGGAUUACAGGUGCGCCACCACACCCCACUAAUUCUUGUAGAGACAGGGUUUCACCAUGUUGGCCAGGCUGGUCUCAAACUCCUGACCUCAAGUGAACCGCUCACCUCGACCUACCAAAGUGCUGGGAUUACAGGCCUGAGCCACUGCACCUGGCCGAGGACUGUGCUCUUUAACACUAGGGAAUAUAUCUUCUCACAGGAAUGGGAAUAUCAGCAGAUCCCAGACAGUCAUAGUGAGAGGUGACAGCAUGCUGGCAGUCGUCGCAGCCCUCGCUCGCUCUUGGCGCCUCCUCGGCCUGGGCGCCCACUCUGGCCGCGCCUGAGGAGCCCUUCAGCCCGUCGCUGCACUGUGGGAGCCUCUUCCUGGGAUGGCCGAGGCAGGAGCCAGCUCCCUCAGCCUGAGGGGAAGUGCGGAGGGAGAGGCACGGGCAGGAACCGGGGCUGCGCGUAGCCCUUGCGGGCCAGCUAGAGUUCCGGGUUGGCGUGGGUUUGGCGGGCCCCGCCUCCCUGGGCAAUGAGGAGCUUAGCACCCGGACCAGCAGGGUUUAGCAACCGGGCCAGCAGCUGAGGAGGGUGCGCUGGGUCCCCCAGCAGUGCCAGCCUACCGGCGCUGCGCUCGAUUUCUCGCGGGGCCUUAGGUGCCUCCCCGCGGGGCAGGGCUCCGGACCUGCAGCCCGCCAUGCCUGAGCCUCUUCUCCCCUACCCCCACCCCGCCGUGGGCGCCUGCGCGCCAGAGCCUCCCCAGGAUCGCCGCCCCCUGCUCCAGGGCGACUGGUCCCAUCGACCGCCCAAGGGCUGAGGAGUGCAGGGGCACAGCGCAGGACUGGCGGCAGCUCCAUCUGCCGCCCCAGGUGCGGGAUCCACUGGGUGAAGCUAUCUGGGCUCCUGAGUCUAAUGGGGACUUGGAGAACGUUUAUGUCUAGCUAAGGGAUUGUAAAUACACCAAUCAGCACUCUGCAUCUAGCUCAAGGUUUGUAAACACACCAGUCAGCACCCUGUGUCUAGCUCAGGGUUUGUGGAUGCCCCAAUCCGCACUCUGUAUCUAGCUAAUCUAGUGGGGACUUGGGGAAUCUUUAUGUCUAGCUAAGGGGUUGUGAAUACACCAAUCCGCACUCUGUAUCUAGCUCAAGGUUUGUAAAUGCACCAAUCAGCACUCUGUGUCUAGCUCAGGGUUUGUAAAUACACUAAUCAGCACUCUGUAUCUAGCUAAUCUAGUGGGGACAUGGAGAACUUUUGUGUCUAGCUCAGGGAUUGUAAACGCACCAAUCAGCACCCUGUCAAAACGGACCAAUCAUUUCUCUGUAAAAUAGACCAAUUGGCUCUGUAAAAUGGACCAAUCAGCAGGAUGUGGGUGGGGCCAGAUAACAGAAUAAAAGCAGGCGGCCAGAGCCAGCAGUGCCAACCAGCUGGGGUCCCCUUCUGCCAUGUAGAGGCUUUGUUCUUUCAGUCUUUGCAAUAAAUCUUUCUGCUGCUUGCUCUUUGGGUUCACACUGCCUUUCUGAGCUGUAAGGCAGUGAAGGUCUCAUCACGAAAGUCUACAAUUUCACUCCUGAAGUCAUGGAGACCACGAACCUACAGGGAGGAACGAACAACUCCAGACAGGCCGCCUUAAGAGCUAUAAUUCUCACCGCGAAGGUCUGCAGCUUCACUCCUGAGACAGUGAGACCACAAACCCACUGGGAGGAACCAACAACUCCAGACGGGCCACCUUAAAAGCUGUAACACUCACUGCGAAGGUCCGCAGCUUCACUCCUGAGCCAGUGAGACAACGAACCCACCGGGAGGAACGAACAACUCCAGACGGGCCACCUUAAAAGCUGUAACACUCACCGCCAAGGUCCGCAGCUUCACUCCUGAGCCAGCGAGACCACGAACCAACCAGAAGGAAGAAACUCCGAACACAUCCAAACAUCAGAAGGAACAAACUCCAGACACGCCGCCUUUAAGAAUUGUAACACUUACUGCGAGGGUCCGCGGCUUCAUUCUUGAAGUCAGUGAGAUCAAGUACCCACCAAUUCCGGACACAAUAGUACGUUUUUUUAAAAGUUUAUAUACAAAGAAAUAAAAUUAUUUGUAAAAAAAUAAAAACUUAGAUAUUGAAGUUAUUGUGAAAGAUGACACGUUACUUGUUAUUGUGUAUUUUUACACUAAAAUUGAAUUUAAUUUUUAUUUCUAAUUUCGAUAUUACUGCAGAUCUAGCGCUUAUUUACUACAGAAAACAGACAUUUGAAUUCAAACGUGCUUUCUGAAUUUAAGUAUUUUUACACUAAAAUUGAAUUAAAUUUUUAUUUCUAAUUCCGAUAUUACUACAGAUCUAGCGCUUAUUUACUACAGAAAACAGACAUUUGAAUUCAAACGUGCUUUCUGAAUUUAAGUGUGUUUAUGAGCAGCACAUUUAGAGUCUCAUUGGCAUAUUUAAAAGUAUAGAUUCUUUCCAUCUAGAAUUUAAAAUAAUUCAAUAUUUUUCUAUGUCCCGAAAAUUCCAAACUUUACUCCUUAAAACCCUUGAAAUCCAAAAAAUUACAAGUUGCUGAAAAAGGGGUGUCUUAAAAUAUUAUAGUGUUGCCUAAUUCUUAUUUUUAUCUCUUUUAUGCUAUGGGGUAGAUUUUCUCCUAUGAAUUUGAUCCUUAAGUUAAUCAACCUACUAUAUACAUACAUAUGCACACACAUAUAUACUUACAAUGUAGACAUAUUGUAUGUAUCACCUAGCUGUAAUUAUUCUAUUUCAAUAAUAUUUUUUAGGAAGCAGAACAAAAAGUUAAUCAUUACUCCCAGGUAUUACUUGUUUCUGCAUGCCACUGUUUUCUAAUCUUUGAGAGUGCCUCAAAUUUAAGUAUAUCAUUCUGUCCAGUUUCUGUUUGCAAUAUUAACAAGAAUUCUUUCUCUUUCUACUUAAUGUAUAUAUUUUAAAAAAAAAAAUCCAUGCAGAUUUUGGUUAAAAUGCCAUUUUAGCAAUGGAAGUCCUUCCUUUAUUUUACUCAUAUCGUUCUAAAAAGGUUAGCAAAGUAAUUACUUAAAAGAACUUGCAAACUUUAAGCUUUCUUAAAACUUAAAGCAAACUUUAAUUUUGAGUUCACGGAUUAUAUUGUGAACCACUUAUUUAAAUAAAAGUGUUUAUAUUUUUCCUAAUAGAGUAUCGCUUCUGACACUGAAAAUGUUAAUAAUUGGUACACAGCUUUUAAAGCUUAUUUGAAACAAAACACACUGAUAUAGUUUGCAUGUGUGUGCCUGCCCACAUCUUAUGUCAAAAUGUAAUCCCUGAUGUUGGAGGUGUGGCCUGGUGGGAGGUGAUUGGCUCAUGGAGGUGGUUUCUCAUGAAUGGUUUAGCACCAUCCUCUUGGGUGCCCUCCUCUCAAUAGUGAGUUCUCGAGAGACUUGUUAUUUAAAAGUGUGUGGCACUUCCCCUCUCUCUCUCUUGCUCCUGCUCUGGCCAUGUGAUGUGACUGUUGCCCCUUCGCCUUCCACCAUGAUUGUGUCUUGAGGCAUCCCCAGAAGCUAAGCUGAUGCCAGCAUCGUGUUUUCUGUGCAGCCUGUAGAACGAUGAGCCAAUUAAACCUCUUUUCUUCAUAAAUUACCCAGUCUCAGGUAUUUCUUUACAGCAAUUUGAUAAUAGACUAAUAGAUGCACAAAUGUGUGUAUGAACCAUAGGCAAACACAAGAUUUCCAUGAAGUAAAUAUUUUCAAAUGAACAAUUAUGCCUAGCGUUUUUUAUUUGCACCCAUAUAUUUUAUGUCGUAUAGAAAGUAUGAAAGAUAACACAGAGAUGAAACUGCAAUCACACAGUUAAAAACAUGUAAUUCUAGUCUGAAAAAUUUUCCUCUUGGUCACAGUAUAUUCAAAAAUAAUACCAAAAAGAUUAAAACUAUUUUCAAGAUGGCCCAUUUCCAAGGGAUUUUUUUUUUGAGAAUUUUGGGGUUCUUGUCAAUUGAUCUGAAAUAAUUCUAAAGGCCCUCUAUAUUCCUAUUUCUCCUUUCCCUGUUCCAACAGGGUGCUAUGUACAUAAUUAUGCAGUAUUGCAAUUACCCAUUCUAAUAUCGAUUUGAUGUACUAUAUUGAAAACUUCAUAAGCCUAGAAAUAUAUUUUAAUUGUGCUUUUACUCAGUGGUGUAUUUAUAAUAAAUGGGUUGCUAUAGUAACAUUAUUUGAUAGCUGGAGCAGAUAAUUUUUUAACAACCUCCCAUUUGACCAAAUUAUUUUCAGUAAUAGUGUAACAAAUAUAUUUUAUCUGUAAACUAAAAUUUGUGCUUACCAACCAAAAAUACUACACCUCAAAGUUUGCACUCUACUUUAAGAACAAAUACAAAUUCCAAGUGGCCCCAUAGGAUAAGAAGAUUGUGGCAACUCAAGUUCCGUUUUUCAUCUAUAUAAUAUGCUACCUUUGUUUGCUUAGAAACAGCUGUUUAAAUGAAGGAAUAUUUAUAUAUUAUAAAAGCUGGACAGUAGUUGCAACACUGGUUUCAAAUAUUUAUACUAACAAGAUAUUGGGGUAGGUAGAGUACUUUAUGACUAAUUUUGCUUACAAUUGCCAGUAUAUAGCGAUAAUAAAAAAGAAGACUGACUUUUGGUUGCGUUUAUGAUUGUCUUCAAAUUCUCUAUGAACAACACACCCCCUAAUUGCCUGCACCUGGGACAGACCAUUCCUUACACCCUGACCUUGGCACACCUUGUAUUGCUUUUAUUCCCAGUGUCUAGACUGUGUCUUCUAUAUCAUAUAGGCUAAAAAAUUUUUUUAUGAAUGGGUUAUUAAGAAGUACGCUUAUGCUUGUUAUUUUAUUUUUUCAUAGACUUUUGGGAAAUACUAUUCGGCACAAGAAUAACUAGAAUAUGGCUCUGGUUCUUGAUAUGAUUGUUCUCUGUUACAACUAAAAGCCACAAAACCACGCGCUUUACUUCUCAUAGUUUAAGAAUCAAAAGGGCAUCUAACACCAAGUGAGAAUCACUUCUUACUGUAGUUUGUACAGCAGGCUUGGGCAUCCCCCCAAAUAUAUUUCAAAAUGAAAACAAAUAUGAUACUUAUAUUAUACCAUUAGUAGACUAUCCAAAAUGCUGUGCACAUGGAAUACAUGUGAAUUCCCUUCUGCUUGAUUUAUGAUGCCGGCCACUUGGAAGAGCAAAGAGAGAUAAAGGAGAAGCCCAGGCAAGCAUGCUGGCUAAUGAGAGAUCAAGACCCUGUCAUCCCAGACACUUCUGCUGCCGUGAUCAACAGCCUGCUAACUGCCAGUAUACGAGCUACCACCUGACUCCCCAGCUAGACACAGUGCUAAGUCUUCAUGCCUGGAAUAAUGUCUUGUAGACAUAGAAGACAGAAGACAGUCAAUUUGAGAGUGGAUGGUGAAGGAAUAGGUGGCUGAAUCUUUGCACAUUGUUAGGAUAUCAUCUGGCUCAUUAUUUUCAGUGUCUCUGGACACUGAUAAGCACUUUCUAAGAACGCUGCUGGAAGGGUAGGAGAGGUUUGGAGGGGAUCUCCUCUCAUUACACCAUUCGCCCAUACACAGUACACACAUGUAUUAACUGAUAUCAGAAGAAAGCAGCUGAAGAUCUGCUUCCAGAUGUCUCAGUGGGGAAACACAGUCCCAAUGCAGAAUAAAAACCCCAUUGAGCAUAGGUACAGCCCAAUAAAUGGUAGUUACUUUUCCCCCCAAAGACUUUUUUUUAAAAUCAGUUGUAGGGUCACAAGAAAUGAGCAGGAAGUAUAGAGUUUCCAUAUACCCCUUCCCCUGCCAACCUCCUCCACUACCAACAUCCUCAUUAGAGAGGUACAUUUGUUACAACUGACGAACCUACAUUGACACAUCAUUACCACCCAAAGUCCAUAGUUUACAUUACAGCUCACUCUUAGGGUUGUACAUUCUAUGGGUUUGGACAAAUAUAUGACUACAUGUAUCCACCAUUGCAGUAUCACACAGGAUAGUUUCACUGCCCUAAAAAUCUCCCUUGCUCCACUUUUUUUGCCUUUCCUCCUAACCUCAGGUAACCACUGAUCCUUUUACUAUCUCCACAGUUUUGCCUUUCCCAGAAUGUCAUAUAGUUGGAAUCAUACAGUAUGUAGACAUUUUCAGAUUGGCUUCUUUCAUUUAGCAAUAAUGCAUUGAAGUUUCUUCCUUGUCUUUUCAUGGCUUUAUAAAGUUAUAGAGUUAUAACUCAUUUAUUUUUAGUACUGAAUAACAGCUCCUUGUUUUGAUGUACCACAGUUUAUGUAUCCAUUCCUCUUCUGAAGGACAUCUUGCUUGCUUCCAGCAAUUAUAAAUAAACAUCCAUAUGCAGGUUUUUAUGUGUAUAGUUGCCUUUUUAAAUUUGUUUUUGAAUUAUUUGCUUAAACUCAGAGGCAAAAACAUAUAAUCCCUCACAUUUUGGAGUUAGACAACUUCUGCCCAGUGCUGCCAAUUAUUGGUCAUAUAAUCUCAAGCAAUUUAUUUUUUCUUUCUUGACUUUGCAUGAUCAAGCAUCUGCAUAAGGAAGAAACUAGAACCAUGGUUAAGAAGGUUUUUCUGAAAUUAGAAGAAGUAAUGCUUAAAAAGUAAUGACAGGUGUCAUGUAUGAUCACUGGCUAGAACAGUUAUAAGAAGUUAUCAUGAAUGAUAAAAAUUACCACUGAAAAUAGUUAUCGGUAAUGCUAACAUUAGCAUUGUUAUUAAUUACUAAUAUUAAAAUUAUUAUUUUAAUGCUAAUAGUUGUUACAAGUGAUAAUAGCUAUUAAUUGUUAUAGUUAACAUUAAUGAUAAUAUUUGUAAGUCCUUAAGAUGUACUAGUCAACAUUCUCAGUGCUGUCCAUGUAGUAACUCUUCACUCUUACUGUAAGUGGUUGGUUCUAUGUAUUAUACAGGUGAGGAAAUUAAGACCCAAAGAGUCUAAGUAACUUCUCUAAAGUUCUAAAACUAGUAAUUUGCCAGAGCUGGAAUUUGAAUCUGCCUCUAAAAUCUGUGCUUUUAGUAGAGAAUAUAAUUCAUAAUAAAUAUUAAAUUAGUUU
Molecule: long non-coding RNA, 8022 nt
Filed under: Homo sapiens (human)
Lineage: Eukaryota; Metazoa; Chordata; Mammalia; Primates; Hominidae
Description: HSALNT0192933
Source: RNAcentral